This 440-nucleotide ribosomal RNA is filed under the name uncultured bacterium. RNAcentral describes it as "bacterial SSU rRNA". It matches the Rfam family "Bacterial small subunit ribosomal RNA", at positions 338 to 795 of the family's 1533-position model. The record is from RNAcentral.
CCUACGGGAUGCACCAGUGGGGAAUAUUGGACAAUGGGCGAAAGCCUGAUCCAGCAAUGCCGCGUGUGUGAAGAAGGUCUUCGGAUUGUAAAGCACUUUCGACGGGGACGAUGAUGACGGCACCCGUAGAAGAAGCCCCGGCUAACUUCGUGCCAGCAGCCGCGGUAAUACGAAGGGGGCUAGCGUUGCUCGGAAUGACUGGGCGUAAAGGGCGCGUAGGCGGUUUAUGCAGUCAGAUGUGAAAUCCCCGGGCUUAACCUGGGAACUGCAUUUGAGACGCAUAGACUAGAGGUCGAGAGAGGGUUGUGGAAUUCCCAGUGUAGAGGCGAAAUUCGUAGAUAUUAGGAAGAACACCGGUGGCGAAGGCGGCAACCUGGCUCGACACUGACGCUGAGGCGCGAAAGCGUGGGGAGUAAACAGGAUUAGAUACCCCUGUAGUC